Molecule: long non-coding RNA, 501 nt
Organism: Xenia sp. Carnegie-2017
Lineage: Eukaryota; Metazoa; Cnidaria; Anthozoa; Malacalcyonacea; Xeniidae
Exons: 4
Source: RefSeq, a predicted model, not a curated record
CUUUAUACACGGGAAUAAACAUUGUGAAACUCUCUGGUCAAUGUGCAUGGAAAGUGCUAAGACAAAGAAAAGAAUAGCUGCGAAGGAACUUGCUUUUAAAGUUGAGUAGAAACUCACUGUCAGAUACGAUCAUGUUCAAAGUAGCUUAUGAUAAUCUAUAUUUGCAUCAUCGUGCUGAUUGUGUGGUUUCUCAUUUGCAAUUUUUGUCAAAGGAUGUCUUAUGAAUAUUGUCCUCAAGAACAUAAAAGUCGAAGGAAUAUUUCUACAUGUUUGAGCACUCUGGCGACUCUAGUGUAAAACAGUAACAAUGUGUAACCAUCUGUUCUUCUUCCCAGUCCUGAGCCACCAUUUCACAGGAGGGUACAUUGUUAUACAAAUUGUGUAUAUAAAGCAUACAGGGUGUGUUAAAAAACUUCAAUCCGUAGAUAUCAUCUGACCUUUAGAAUUUCCUUUGAUCCACAAGGAGGCGUAAACACAAUUAAAAGGAAUUGUAUUCUUGGA